This 374-nucleotide ribosomal RNA is filed under the name Paratelmatobius poecilogaster (San Andre rapids frog). Its description in RNAcentral is "partial 16S ribosomal RNA". It matches the Rfam family "Bacterial large subunit ribosomal RNA", at positions 1988 to 2515 of the family's 2925-position model. The record is from RNAcentral. Lineage: Eukaryota; Metazoa; Chordata; Amphibia; Anura; Leptodactylidae.
UAGUAUGAAUGGCACCACGAGGGUUAUACUGUCUCCUCUUUCUAAUCAGUGAAACUAAUCUCCCCGUGAAGAAGCGGGGAUCAACCUAUAAGACGAGAAGACCCUAUGGAGCUUUAAACUUAAAACAUUUGCCCAAACAAUCUUAAUUCCAGAAAAAUAAACCUGUUCAACAUUAAUGAUUUUUAAGUUUUCGGUUGGGGUGACCACGGAGCAAAAUUUAACCUCCGCACUGAAAGGACCUUAAACCUUAGCCAAGAGCCACGACUCUAUGCAUCAAUAAUUUGACACCAAUUGACCCAAUAUAUUGAGCAAUGAACCAAGUUACCCUAGGGAUAACAGCGCAAUCUACUUCAAGAGCCCCUAUCGACAAGUAG